AUCCAAGAAAUGAAUAUGGGCCCAACAAUUGUUACUUGUAAGGAUGAGAUGGCCCAUACAAUCAUAAUCAUAACACAUUGAUUCUAUGAAUAAAUCUUAAUUAACAUAUGGUGAUAGUAAGUUAUAAUAUGGUGACGUUGUACAAGUACAAGAUUAUUAAUUAAAGAUAGUGUUAUACGCAUCUUAUUUUUACUUCCCACAUAUUUUUUGUUAAUUUAUAUAUAGAUAACAUCACCAUUAAUUAACCUCAACAUCAAUAGUUAAAAGCAAGAUUUUCUUAAACAACGGAUGAAGCACGUCCACAUCCACAUUCAUCUCAUAAUUCCCUACACAAGAUUUCCUUAAACAAAAUCUGUACUUUCGUAUCUAUUCCUAUGCAUGAUCAAUCAUGUGUAGAUAUUAAAUGCGCACACAGAAUAUGCAGAGAUCAACACAUUCAUUUCUUGUUGCUUUUUUUCGAAACCAAUAUGGACUCUAGUUAUUUUGAGGCUUGGUAAGUCAAAUUUUCAACCAUCGUUGUACUUUUCCAGAUUGUCUAGAUUUUAUCCAUGUUGAGUGCUGUCGUUUUUGAAGUUUAUAUUCAUCUGUGUUUGAAUUGGCUAUCCUUUCCGGUUAGGGGUCUAGGCAUGAGAUGGCUAAGUUAUGCUUGAUGUUCAUUUCUCGAUUUGAUCUGAUUUAUUACCAUAUGUAAGUUGACAUCAUUUUACUAGUCUCCUCAGAGUGGGAAAUCUUGUUUAGGCGAAGUCAUUUACCGUUGCAUAGCUGCUGAUCGGUUGUCCCCAGAACGCCUUCUUGAUUACUUCGAUCACUUAUCGGAAUACACCACUCUGGAAAUAGCAAACAGGAUUGAGGCUGCUGUGCACAUUUGGAAGCAUAAGCACGCAAAACCCCGUCUAACUCAUGUAAAUUCUGCAAAGUCAUCCUGGGGUGCAAAUUUCAAAGGCUUUGUCAAUUACAUAGAAAAGAGUAAGCUUCUCGCGUAAAGGGCAGAUACCCUCUUACAGAAUCUGAAAAUACGGUUCCCUGGCCUCCCACAUACCUCUCUGGACAUGAACAACAUUCAGCACAACAAGGAUGUGGGGCAAUCGAUCAUUGAGAGCUACUCUAGGGUGAUGGAAAGCAUAGCCUUUAACAUAAUGGCAAGGAUAGAUGAUCUACUAUAUGUAGAUGGUAGCACCAAACAGCAGGCAGCUGCGGAAUCUAUGUCUCUGUAUGACCAGGGAAGGAUUGGUGGCACAUUGCCAAAACAGAAGCGGAUAUCACCCAGUCCCUUUCUCAAUUCAUCGUGCCUCUUCCAUUAAAUUAUCAGCAUUGGAUCCUCUUGUGAAUCAGAUAGGUAAAAGCCCCGGUGGAAGGACAUAUUAUAAACCAACAAAGAAGGAUGACAAGUUAGAAAAGUUAACCUUUUGAUGAAGUUGAAAUGGUAAGCUGAACAGCUUCUCUGUCAUAUGUAGCCAAUAAGGUUAGUAUAUGAUAUGCCGUGUUUUAUUGCUCUA
Molecule: long non-coding RNA, 1496 nt
Organism: Pyrus x bretschneideri (Chinese white pear)
Lineage: Eukaryota; Viridiplantae; Streptophyta; Magnoliopsida; Rosales; Rosaceae
Exons: 2
Source: RefSeq, a predicted model, not a curated record